GCUUUUAUUUUGCUCCUUCAAAUCAGUGAAUACGUAUCACUUUAACGAAAAACACGCUUGAACGAGUUCACCGACAAAAAAUCCCUAGACAGUCAAAAUGAAGUUUUUCCCAGAGAAGAACCUGUUCACAGUAUACGAUCUCGAUUAUGAUUACUCAUUCUACCCACACGAAAAGUAUUUUUGGAGACAAAAAUAUUCCGGUCCAUUGACAUUUUAUCACAAUAUGCCAAUUUACGGGUCGGAUUCAGUUUUCGAUCCUCUUCCGACUUACAGAUUUUAUAAAUAUUUUAUUGAUCCCAUUCCAUCGGAAGAAUCGUUGAGACAAAUUCGUUUAUACAACAAUCUGUAUUUUCCUAAGAAACGUGUUUAUUAAAUAUAAUGGACGACGAAACAUUUUUAUAAAUCAUCAACACUGAUGUUAUACUAUAUACUUAUACGUUAUGUAAUCAUAAAAAUUUUAAUAAACAAAAAUUGAUAAACAAUUAUAA
This is a long non-coding RNA of Aethina tumida (small hive beetle), 488 nucleotides long. RefSeq lists it as uncharacterized. The transcript is spliced from 3 exons. The record is from RefSeq and is a predicted model, not a curated record. NCBI's taxonomy places the organism in Eukaryota, Metazoa, Arthropoda, Insecta, Coleoptera, Nitidulidae.